RNAcentral lists this transfer RNA (73 nucleotides) under Canis lupus familiaris (dog). It matches the Rfam family "tRNA". Rfam says of the family: Transfer RNA (tRNA) molecules are approximately 80 nucleotides in length. Their secondary structure includes four short double-helical elements and three loops (D, anti-codon, and T loops). RNAcentral also lists the same sequence under 1 other name. The record is from Rfam by way of RNAcentral. Lineage: Eukaryota; Metazoa; Chordata; Mammalia; Carnivora; Canidae.
GCCUGGGUAGCUCACUUGGUAGAGCAUGUGACUCUUGAUCUCAGGUUUGUGAGUUCAAGCCCCCUGUUGGGCA